This 467-nucleotide ribosomal RNA is filed under the name uncultured bacterium. Its description in RNAcentral is "bacterial SSU rRNA". It matches the Rfam family "Bacterial small subunit ribosomal RNA", at positions 56 to 504 of the family's 1533-position model. The record is from RNAcentral.
UGCAAGUCGUGCGGACCUUUUAAAGCUUGCUUUUAAAAGGUUAGCGGCGGACGGGUGAGUAACACGUGGGCAACCUGCCUGUAAGAUCGGGAUAACGCCGGGAAACCGGGGCUAAUACCGGAUAGUUUUUUCCUCCGCAUGGAGGAAAAAGGAAAGACGGCUUUUGCUGUCACUUACAGAUGGGCCCGCGGCGCAUUAGCUAGUUGGUGGGGUAACGGCUCACCAAGGCAACGAUGCGUAGCCGACCUGAGAGGGUGAUCGGCCACAUUGGGACUGAGACACGGCCCAAACUCCUACGGGAGGCAGCAGUAGGGAAUCUUCCGCAAUGGACGAAAGUCUGACGGAGCAACGCCGCGUGAGUGAAGAAGGCCUUCGGGUCGUAAAACUCUGUUGCCGGGGAAGAACAAGUGCCGUUCGAACAGGGCGGCGCCUUGACGGUACCCGGCCAGAAAGCCACGGCUAACUAC